RNAcentral lists this ribosomal RNA (408 nucleotides) under uncultured bacterium. RNAcentral describes it as "partial 16S ribosomal RNA". It matches the Rfam family "Bacterial small subunit ribosomal RNA", at positions 28 to 526 of the family's 1533-position model. The record is from RNAcentral.
GACGAACGCUGGCGGCGUGCUUAACACAUGCAAGUCGAACGAAGUGGCGAACGGGUGAGUAACGCGUGAUCAACCUGCCCUUCAGAGGGGGACAAUAGUUGGAAACGACUGCUAAUACCGCAUACGGAAGGAGGGGUUUGCGGCUGAUUAGCUAGUCGGGGGGGUAACGGCCUACCAAGGCGAGGAUCAGUAGCCGGUCUGAGAGGAUGAACGGCCAAAUUGGGACUGGGACACGGCCCAGACUCCUUCGGGAGGCAACAGUGGGGAAUCUUCCGCAAUGGAGGAAAGUCUGACGGCGCAACGCCGGGUGAGUUAUGACGGCCUUCGGGUUGGAAAGCUCUUUUAAGCGGGACGCGGUACCGGAAUAGAAAGCAACGGCUAACUACGUGCCAGCAGCCGCGGUAAUAC